RNAcentral lists this ribosomal RNA (467 nucleotides) under uncultured bacterium. RNAcentral's name for it is "partial 16S ribosomal RNA". It matches the Rfam family "Bacterial small subunit ribosomal RNA", at positions 28 to 507 of the family's 1533-position model. The record is from RNAcentral.
GACGAACGCUGGCGGCGUGCUUAACACAUGCAAGUCGAACGGUGAAGCAGAGCUUGUUUUGUGGAUGAGUGGCGAACGGAUGGGUAAGUAGUGAGCAACCAGCCUCUGAUUCUGGGAUAAGCGCUGGAAAGGGCGUCUAGCUCAGGCUGUGUGCUGACUCCGCAUGGUAAGCAGUUGGAAAGAUUUUUCGGUUUGGGAUGGGCACACGGCCUCUCAGCUUGUUGGUGAGGUAAUGGCGCAGCAAGGCGUCGACGGGUAGCCGGCCUGAGAGGGUGACCGGGCACACUGGGACUGAGACACGGGCCAGACUGCAACGGGAGGCAGCGGUGGAGAAUAGUGCGCAAUGGGCGGAAGCCUGAUGCAGCAACUCCGCGUCGGAGAUGUCUGCCUUCGGGUUGUAAACCUGUUUUAGCAGGAAAGAAGCGAAAGUGACGGUACCUGCAGAAAAAGCGCCGGCUAACUACGUG